RNAcentral lists this transfer RNA (73 nucleotides) under Lachnospiraceae bacterium. Its description in RNAcentral is "tRNA-Thr". It matches the Rfam family "tRNA". From Rfam's summary of the family: Transfer RNA (tRNA) molecules are approximately 80 nucleotides in length. Their secondary structure includes four short double-helical elements and three loops (D, anti-codon, and T loops). The record is from RNAcentral. RNAcentral also lists the same sequence under 1 other name. Lineage: Bacteria; Bacillati; Bacillota; Clostridia; Lachnospirales; Lachnospiraceae.
GCUUCUGUGGCGUAGUUGGUAGCGCAACUGAUUCGUAAUCAGUAGGUCGUCAGUUCGAGUCUGAUCAGGAGCU